AGCAGCCGCGGUAAUUCCAGCUCCAAUAGCGUAUAUUAAAGUUGUUGCAGUUAAAAAGCUCGUAGUUGAAUUUCGGGAUUGACACAUCGGUCGUGCCUUAAGGGGUAUGAACUGGUGUAGUCAAUUUCUCACCUUCUGGAGAACCGCGAUGUCCUUAAUUGGGUGCCGCGAGGAACCAGGACCUUUACUUUGAAAAAUUAGAGUGUUUAAAGCAGGCAUUUUUGCUUGAAUACAUUAGCAUGGAAUAAUAAAAUAGGACGGCAUGAUUCUAUUUUGUUGGUUUCUAGGAUCACCGUAAUGAUUAAUAGGGAUAGUUGGGGGCAUUAGUAUUCAAUUGUCAGAGGUGAAAUUCUUGGAUUUAUUGAAGACUAACUACUGCGAAAGCAUUUGCCAAGGAUGUUUUCAUUAAUCAAGAACGAAAGUUAGGGGAUCGAAGACGAUCAGAUACCGUC
This 452-nucleotide ribosomal RNA is filed under the name uncultured Entrophospora. RNAcentral's name for it is "SSU rRNA". It matches the Rfam family "Eukaryotic small subunit ribosomal RNA", at positions 569 to 1019 of the family's 1831-position model. The record is from RNAcentral. Lineage: Eukaryota; Fungi; Glomeromycota; Glomeromycetes; Entrophosporales; Entrophosporaceae.